GAUGAAGAACGAAGCGAAAUGCGAUAAGUAAUGUGAAUUGCAGAAUUCAGUGAAUCAUCGAAUCUUUGAACGCACAUUGCGCCCCUUGGUAUUCCGAGGGGCAUGCCUGUUCGAGCGUCAUUAUAACCCCUCAAGCUCAGCUUGGUGUUGGGGCCUGCUGCACUGGCAGCCCUUAAAAUCAGUGGCGGCGCCAUCUGGCUCUAAGCGUAGUAAUUCUUCUCGCUAUGGAGUCCUGGUGGAUGCUUGCCAUCAACCCCCAAUUUUUCUAUGGUUGACCUCGGAUCAGGCAGGGAUACCCGCUGAACUUAAGCAUAUCAAUAAGCGGAGGA
RNAcentral lists this unclassified non-coding RNA (329 nucleotides) under soil metagenome. RNAcentral describes it as "partial contains 5.8S ribosomal RNA, internal transcribed spacer 2, and large subunit ribosomal RNA". The stretch from base 1 to 120 matches the Rfam family "5.8S ribosomal RNA", at positions 35 to 154 of the family's 154-position model. The record is from RNAcentral.